Long non-coding RNA from Rhea pennata, 1266 nucleotides. RefSeq lists it as uncharacterized. The record is from RefSeq and is a predicted model, not a curated record. The transcript is spliced from 3 exons. NCBI's taxonomy places the organism in Eukaryota, Metazoa, Chordata, Aves, Rheiformes, Rheidae.
GAGGGAUGCAGAUUCCGGUGUGCCAGCCCAUCUUCUACAGCAUUCAAGAACAGUAAAGGCUAUGAAGCCCACAGGAGGAUGAAGGACAAGUCUAGCACUGCUCUCUUCCCUGCUCCAGGACUGUCACCCUUCAAACAGAGGCAUUCCAGGCUGAGUCGCCGUGGGGACACCCCGCUCUUCUGUCAGCGCGUCAGGAGGAGGGAGAGGGCGUCGUGCUGACAGGCCGGGCUUUCUUGAAAGGCGGCUGAAAGCCCUGGAUGCCAACUUUCUCAUUCAGCUAUUGGGAACGGGGCAUCUGAUUGCCCUGGCUGCCUUCGACAGGCUCCGCUCGUCAGGGCUGCAGCUGCCAGCGCGAGGGGCUGUUCCAGCACCCCGGGGCCAGGUCGCUCGCCCGCGCCAGGCGCUCGGCAGCUGCAAGCGAAGGGCCUUCGCGCCUGCAGCAUCUCAAAGUGCACAGCCCUGUUUGCGGUGACUGUCAAGCCAAGAGGCAGCCUAAGACCAGAGCCUUGCUGGCAAUGAAUUUGGAGAGGUUGCCUUAGCUGAAGUAAUCUGCUUGCUGAGGACGGCCAGUCCAACCAUGGCAGAGCCGGAGAGACGCAGCAAUGCGUGAAGUUCGUCCUCCUGUAAGAUUAAACACGUGUCCCCUCUGGGGCUGCCUGCAUCCUUAGGAAAGGCUACAAAGAUGGAAACACAACUGCAGCCGCUCGUUCUGUGGAUGAACCGGCAGCUGUGCGAAGUGUUUGUGGUCAGUGCUGGGGCUGUGUGACCAAGCACUCCAUUUAUCACCCUUCCACACACCAAGCAACCGUGUCUCCUCAUCUCCCUGCCCAAGAAAGCAGGCAAGCGGCUCGUGUUGAAGCGCGGUGCGAACCUGGCUGGGAGCAGAAGCUGGCUGGCAUUUGCGUGGCCCCGGCAAAGAGCAGCGUCGCUGGUGUUAAUUUGAGAAUUGGUCUUGUGCUGUUAUGGCUUUGUGUCCUGGCUGCAGGUUGACCACUCGCUUUGCUUGCUGGGUGUCAGUGCCUCCUUGCUGGGUGAUAGCGCUUGGGGAGGGGGGCUCUGACCCAGUAGCCCCCAGUGCUGUGCCAGGGAAUGCUGCUCACGGUUGCUGUGGUGGGGGGUCUGCUGGAGAGUAUUUCUUGACCAUAGCUAUAUAAAUUCAAACAGAUGUAUUUUGAAAACUUCAGCUUUGAGGCAAACUCUGCGUUUGAGCUGUUUUGGUUAAGAAUAAAUUGCACUUCAGUGCAAAUGGUGUUUUCAAAGUGAAAA